AUACUUGGCUGGGGGAGCCGUUUGGCAGAGCGGGAAUGAAAAUUCCUGACCCUUUGAACCUGAUGUGGUUAGUACCAACGUAGGGAAGCUGUUUUAUAUAUUU
Molecule: non-coding RNA, 103 nt
Filed under: Pelosinus fermentans
Lineage: Bacteria; Bacillati; Bacillota; Negativicutes; Selenomonadales; Sporomusaceae
Description: TPP sequence
Rfam family: TPP riboswitch aptamer (THI element)
About the family: Vitamin B(1) in its active form thiamin pyrophosphate (TPP) is an essential coenzyme that is synthesised by coupling of pyrimidine and thiazole moieties in bacteria. The previously detected thiamin-regulatory element, thi box was extended, resulting in a new, highly conserved RNA secondary structure, the THI element, which is widely distributed in eubacteria and also occurs in some archaea. Analysis of operon structures identified a large number of new candidate thiamin-regulated genes, mostly transporters, in various prokaryotic organisms.
Source: RNAcentral